Molecule: long non-coding RNA, 2020 nt
Filed under: Homo sapiens (human)
Lineage: Eukaryota; Metazoa; Chordata; Mammalia; Primates; Hominidae
Description: non-protein coding lnc-CEP57L1-1:4
Source: RNAcentral
GGAUACAGAAAAACAGCAAAUACAAAUCAUGGAUGAAAUUUAUAAGAUCACUUCCACAGAAAGGGUCCAGCUGUUGGAGAAAAAACUGGCUGUGCAACUGACUGAACUGAAGUCUGAGAUAGAAGAGCAGGGAGCUCUUCAGGGAACAGCUAAUCGAGUUUACAGCUCUAUUCAAAUGCCAAAGGAUAUUUAUUACUUUAGAAGAGAGAGGGAACUAGCACUGAAGAAAACCUUACAGGUGGCCGAGUCGAAGCCCCUUGUUGUUCAGGCAGAUGCCGUGCAGAGGGAGCUAGAGAGCUGCCUAAGAAGGGAGUACACCCCUGAAAAUUUACCUUUGCUUCUGUUGCAGUAUUACACAGAGAGAAUUGCCCAGCUGGCCCAGAGUAAAUAUUUACACAUGCUUAGGUGGAAGAGGUUUUGCCAACACAGUAAGAUCAUGGAGCAACUUUAUCCUCUUUACAAGAAACAAGUUGGCUACAUUAUGCAGGAGUACAAUGACACCCUUCAGAGAGCUGAAAGAUUGUCUGUUGCUCGAGAAAACUUCCUCAUGGGAAAAAACAAUCCUCCUAACUUGGUGACACAGGAAGAUCUGACUAUUUACACAAAGUGGUUAGUGUGCCACCUGCACUCUCUUGGGACUGUUCACCAGUACCUGCAGGCCCUCCAGUAUUUGCCCAUCUCCAAAGUGCUGAGUGUAGCUUUCAACCGAGUCGCUGAAGCUGGUCAGAAAAAUGAAAAUGUCUGUGUCAAUGACAUUGACCCUGACAUUCAGGGUUCUGCAUCUCCUGACCCUGUGGAUACCAGCAUUUCUGGGCCAAUGAGAACAGAAGCUGCUUUUGUCCUCCCCCAACAUGCAACAGAAACAGGAGAACUGAAACCUCAGCUGAAGCUCCUGCUCUCCCAUUUCAGUAUCCCAUAUGACGUAGAAGAGCUCUGGGACUCUGCUAAGGAAAUGGAACUUUUUUCCUUGCACUGUCUCCAGCAGAGUGUUUCUGUGGGAGUGUCCUCCCCUUAUUAUCAUCAAGGAUUAUGAUAGGCAAAACACAGAAUCAGAAUAUGAUGGUGUUUAAGAAGAACCAAAAUAAAUGUUUCCCAAAAAUUUCAAAGCGUCUUCAUGGAGCAACAGAGAUUGCAAAUGUUUCCAGACUGUGAAGCUGGAAUAGCUAAAGCAGAUAAUUUGGGUUUGGCAGGACCCAGAAUGACCCUGAAAAAGAAAGCCAACUGGAUUUCCUUCAUAAAGAUCAAGCCAAAAUGUGAUCCAUGGCAAAAGAAGCUUUUGACUAAAUUAAAAGAACGGAGAAGAACAGAUGCAUUAUUGCAACUCCAAGCAAAGUUUUUGAAGAUUUCCAACCCUGAGUGAGUAAUGCAAGUGCUCCAAGAUCACGCUGCAAAGACAGUCAUGCUGGCUCCACAUCAGCCAUCGUUUGUGGCUUCCCAAGGUUUGCAUCAGGGCAAUUAUGACCAAGUCUGGGAGAAUAUUGACAACAACAUCAACCUCUGUCAGAAUAAAAAUAUGAAAGAUGAUGACCUCUCCAUGAAACAAAAUGAAAAUGAUCUAUCACAGAUAACUCUCAGCCAACAUGCUGAUGGGCCUCUCAAGCAGAUACAAGAGACAGGGUACAACUAUGCAAUGACCCUACAACUGCUGGGCUUGGAAGACGGCACUGACCCCAGUGAUAGGAAUCCUGUUCUGAUGAGAGGGGCCUACUUGUCCUUUCUGUAUCUGUGCCACCUUCGAAUCAGAGAACUGCAGCACAUCUGCUUAGGAAUUCUGAAUUAUUUCAGAUCUGUUGAGCGAACCCUGACAAUCAAUACUUCGGGCCUUACCUUGGUUUCAGGGAAACUGGUCCCCACCAUGGAAGAUAGUUCCUGGGUAAAUAUGGCAAAAGGAGGUCUGGGCACCUUGCAGGGCCUGGGCGCUCACCACUAUGUCCGUGAGACACCUGCUGAGCACAAGGUCCACAGCGUCCAAUUCAUGGAGUUCUCGGAAGUGGAGAACCAGGAUGACUACUACAGCACA